GAGCCUACGGGGCGCAGCAGUAGGGAAUCUUCCACAAUGGACGAAAGUCUGAUGGAGCAACGCCGCGUGAGUGAAGAAGGGUUUCGGCUCGUAAAGCUCUGUUGGUAGGGGAGAAAGAUAGAGGUAGGAACUGGCCUUUAUUUGACGGUAAUUACUUAGAAAGUCACGGCUAACUACGUGCCCGCAGCCGCGGUAAUACGUAGGUGGCCAGCGUUAUCCGGAUUUAUUGGG
RNAcentral lists this ribosomal RNA (231 nucleotides) under uncultured bacterium. RNAcentral's name for it is "partial 16S ribosomal RNA". It matches the Rfam family "Bacterial small subunit ribosomal RNA", at positions 334 to 558 of the family's 1533-position model. The record is from RNAcentral.